Molecule: long non-coding RNA, 1907 nt
Filed under: Gallus gallus (chicken)
Lineage: Eukaryota; Metazoa; Chordata; Aves; Galliformes; Phasianidae
Source: RNAcentral
GGGAGCGGCGGACACGUGAGGCGGCGGCGGACGGCGCCGGGCCCUGCGCUCUGCGGGGCCGCUCCCGCCCCGCUCCGCUCCCAGCGCCGCCCGCGGGAGGGCCCUCCUGAGGGGAACGGCUCCGCCCGCGCGGUGCGGCCUGGAGGGGGGGGCGAGGGGGGAGCGGGGCCUCGCAGGGCCGGACCGCGGCUGAGGUGCGGAGAUCCCACGUGCGGGGAUUAAACUGCAGAAAUGCGAAGCGCUGAAAGCAGAAAUGCAGGCGUUGUAAUGGAGAAAUUUGGAAGACGUGAAUCUGAAACGCAGAAAUCAGAGCGCGGCGGGCAGCCGGCUCUGGCAUCCCGCUGGUGCGCGCUCUGCUCGAGUGGUGCUUUCAGCACCAAGCACCAAUACAUCACUGUUAAAAGCCCGUGUGCACGCAGGAUUAGUAAGAGCAGCUGUAACCUGAAAACCAAAAGCGAAAUUGAUUUAUAGCCAUGGUUACUCAAAAUGCUCAGACUUUAAUCUAUUCAUAGGGAUGCUCUGAAAGUCCCGCAGGAUUCGGAUGCAGUGAGAAGGAGAUAUCCUGCUGGGCGGGCAGUGUUUGUACACCUUGCUUGCACAGCAACAGUUCUCCCAUGCGGCUAAAAGCUGUGGGUGGCAGCACGGUGGUAAAAAGAUAACAAUAUUUAACAGCUUUCUUCAAUUAGCAUCAUCCCUGUGCUUUUGACUGUUAAACUCCUUGUUUUGCUUCACCUUCCAGGCCCGGAUAACCCUGUGGUUAACACCUUAUGAGCUAAAUGACAGAUGCCAGCACAAAGCAUUACUCCACUGAAAAUAUUUGUCGAAAAGUGAGCCGGCAGCUUUAGGGAGCUUUGGUGAAUGUGCAAAACGUUUUGCUAUUGUCCAGGCUCGAUAAUGGGAGAGGACAUUGAGGAGUUCUGCAGGAGACAGCAGUGUGAGAAGAGGUAGAUCCCCAUGGAGCACAAACAGAGGGCCUCAAAUUGCCACCACAGCAGCAGAGGUGCAGCAGGUGGGGAAGAUGAAGGUCACAAACAUAGCUUGGAAUGAACACAACUGAGCUACAGGUAGAAGGGGCUCCGUGUUCUGCAGUGUGUUUCAUCCUUUUUUUUCACUUGAUAAAGCAAAUUUCCCAGAAAGCGCGAGGAAGUCUGAUAGUAGGCUCUAACAAAUCCACGUCCCUUAAGGUUGUUUUGGUUUUGUUUGUUUGUUUUUUCAAUGGAAAGGAAGUAAUUACUAUGCUUUUUCAGCUAGGCACAUUACACCGUGCAACAAUCAGUCCCUGUGUGUGUGUUGAAGGUUAAGAACUCUUACAGAGCUGUGCGGCCACGCUGCAGGGUCCUGUGGGCAGACAAAGUCCCCGGUGUCCAUGGAUGUGAUUGGUACAAGCAAGUUCUGUGGUCAGAGAUGGUUUCUAAGACAUGAUGUGAACACACUAACUUAGAUUUUGGGGUAACAUUAUGUCCUUUGAGAGUGAUUACACGAAUAAGACUCUCGUGUUGGUAUCUGCAGCAAUGACUCAAGCGCAGUUGCUGUUUGACUUGUUCUCUCCUUCAAUGUAUUCUUUGUUUUGCUAAGCUCUGGCUUCCAUUGUGCCCUCCCAUUUUUGCUUGUCGAGCAUCAUCACUCAGAAGCAAGCACAGCAGUGACCAGGUUGAAGGGACUCCAUUUCACCCACCAAGACUGUGUCAGGGGCUGCAUCCUUUGGAGGCUGAUGGUGCCGUGCCAGUGCUGGCGCCACUCUGCAGCUUUCUGCUGUGAGCUGCCCCACCUGCAGUGCACGGGGGUCACACUGCUGUCACUGCACACAGUGCCCUUUCCCUUGGUGUUGGCUUCUCCCUGCACACAGCCCUUUGAUAGCCAGCAAUUCCCACUACUCCAUUUUUAUUAUUUUAUGAUUUGUCUCUAUU